UGGCGAACGGGUGAGUAACGCGUGGAUAACCUACCUGUCCGACCGGGAUAACACCUGGAAACGGGUGCUAAUACCGGAUACGCUCACGGGUUCACAAGAGCUUGUGAGGAAAGGGGAGACCCGCAGACAGAUGGGUCCGCGUCCCAUUAGCUAGUUGGGGGUGUAAUGGACUCCCAAGGCGACGAUGGGUAGCCGGCCUGAGAGGGUGACCGGCCACACUGGAACUGAGACACGGUCCAGACUCCUACGGGAGGCAGCAGUGGGGAAUCUUCCGCAAUGGGCGAAAGCCUGACGGAGCAACGCCGCGUGAGUGAAGAAGGCCUUCGGGUUGUAAGACUCUGUCAUCAGGGAAGAAGAAAGUGACGGUACCUGAGGAGGAAGCCCCGGCUAACUACGUGCCAGCAGCCGCGGUAAAACGUAGGGGGCGAGCGUUGUCCGGAAUUACUGGGCGUA
RNAcentral lists this ribosomal RNA (453 nucleotides) under uncultured bacterium. RNAcentral's name for it is "bacterial SSU rRNA". It matches the Rfam family "Bacterial small subunit ribosomal RNA", at positions 96 to 562 of the family's 1533-position model. The record is from RNAcentral.